RNAcentral lists this ribosomal RNA (632 nucleotides) under uncultured Azospira sp. RNAcentral's name for it is "bacterial SSU rRNA". It matches the Rfam family "Bacterial small subunit ribosomal RNA", at positions 17 to 642 of the family's 1533-position model. Lineage: Bacteria; Pseudomonadati; Pseudomonadota; Betaproteobacteria; Rhodocyclales; Rhodocyclaceae. The record is from RNAcentral.
UCCUGGCUCAGAUUGAACGCUGGCGGCAUGCCUUACACAUGCAAGUCGAACGGCAGCACGGGAGCUUGCUCCUGGUGGCGAGUGGCGAACGGGUGAGUAAUACAUCGGAACGUACCCAGGAGUGGGGGAUAACGUAGCGAAAGUUACGCUAAUACCGCAUAUUCUGUGAGCAGGAAAGCGGGGGAUCGCAAGACCUCGCGCUCUUGGAGCGGCCGAUGUCGGAUUAGCUAGUUGGUGAGGUAAAAGCUCACCAAGGCGACGAUCCGUAGCAGGUCUGAGAGGAUGAUCUGCCACACUGGGACUGAGACACGGCCCAGACUCCUACGGGAGGCAGCAGUGGGGAAUUUUGGACAAUGGGGGCAACCCUGAUCCAGCCAUGCCGCGUGAGUGAAGAAGGCCUUCGGGUUGUAAAGCUCUUUCGGCGGGGAAGAAAUGGCAACGGCUAAUAUCCGUUGUUGAUGACGGUACCCGCAUAAGAAGCACCGGCUAACUACGUGCCAGCAGCCGCGGUAAUACGUAGGGUGCGAGCGUUAAUCGGAAUUACUGGGCGUAAAGCGUGCGCAGGCGGUUUCGUAAGACAGACGUGAAAUCCCCGGGCUCAACCUGGGAACUGCAUUUGUGACUGCGAGGCU